Molecule: transfer RNA, 73 nt
Organism: Oxobacter pfennigii
Lineage: Bacteria; Bacillati; Bacillota; Clostridia; Eubacteriales; Clostridiaceae
Rfam family: tRNA
About the family: Transfer RNA (tRNA) molecules are approximately 80 nucleotides in length. Their secondary structure includes four short double-helical elements and three loops (D, anti-codon, and T loops).
Source: Rfam
GGGGGUGUAGCUCAGCUGGGAGAGCACCUGCCUUGCAAGCAGGGGGUCAUCGGUUCGAUUCCGUUCAUCUCCA